RNAcentral lists this ribosomal RNA (254 nucleotides) under uncultured bacterium. RNAcentral describes it as "partial 16S ribosomal RNA". It matches the Rfam family "Bacterial small subunit ribosomal RNA", at positions 524 to 776 of the family's 1533-position model. The record is from RNAcentral.
UACGUAGGCAGCGAGCGUUGUUCGGAGUUACUGGGCGUAAAGGGUGUGUAGGCGGUUCUUUAAGUUUGGUGUGAAAUCUCCCGGCUCAACCGGGAGGGUGCGCCGAAUACUGAGGGACUUGGAGUGCGGGAGAGGAAAGUGGAAUUCCUGGUGUAGCGGUGAAAUGCGUAGAUAUCGGGAAGAACACCCGUGGCGAAGGCGGCUCUCUGGGACGGUACUGACGCUGAGACGCGAAAGCGUGGGGAGCAAAAGGG